AUUGAACGCUGGCGGCAGGCCUAACACAUGCAAGUCGAACGAGUGGCGGACGGGUGAGUAAUGUCUGGGAAACUGCCUGACGGAGGGGUAAAACUACGGGAAACGGUAGCUAAUACCGCAUAACAUCAGAUGUGCCGAGAUGGGAUUAGCUUGUUGGUGGGGGAACGGCUCACCGAGGCGACGAUCCCUAGCUGGUCUGAUAGGAUGACCCGCCACACUGGAACUGAGACACGGUCCAGACUCCUACGGGAGGCAGCAGUGGGGAAUAUUGCACAAUGGGCGCAAGCCUGAUGGAGCCAUGCCGCGUGUAUGAAGAAGGCCUUCGGGUUGUAAAGUACUUUCAGUGGGGAGGCGUUACCCGCAGAAGAAGCACCGGCUAACUCCGUGCCAGCAGCCGCGGUAAUAC
RNAcentral lists this ribosomal RNA (406 nucleotides) under uncultured bacterium. RNAcentral describes it as "partial 16S ribosomal RNA". It matches the Rfam family "Bacterial small subunit ribosomal RNA", at positions 30 to 526 of the family's 1533-position model. The record is from RNAcentral.